CUUGAUUAUGAUUGGUGAGGAAUUAUUUAUUAAAGAAGUGUGAAUUAAACCCUGUUGCACGGUGUAGCUAGAAGCAUUUUGGACUUGUAGUUUUCAUUCCUGUUGUAUUAUACAACAGGAUAAUAUAUAUAAUAUAUAUAUAUAUAUAUAUAUAUAUAUAUAUAUAUCGGUCACAGCUAAAGCAGUCUUGAACACUACUACUGAGUAAAGGAACAACAGCACACUGCACAAGUGGAGCAGCGAUGGAAUACUGUGACUAGGAAGUAAAGUGAGCUGCUGUGUAAAGAAGCAUUAGUGUUUAUUGAGUAAAAGAGGUAUAGUGCACCACCAAACUAAAUAGUGCCUUUGAGAGAAAUGAGCAGAUUAUGAAGAAAAGGUAUUUCCACACCUGUCCGUGGAUUCCAAUUCAAACCUGAAUUUUAUCACCUCAAUAUUUCACUUAUUUUAAAUGUUUGAAAACCUCAUCUUGGAUUUCUUUAUAUCAGAUCGAGUUUGUCAUAAACCUACCCUAGUAAGUGCACUACAAAAAAAAUAAUAAUAAAACUACUGAGUGACUUUGCCUCAAAUAUGCAAAUAGACCAAACUAUAACGCGAGGAAAGUGUUUACACCACGCGCCUGUAAUUUAAAUACAAGUAAAUAAAAUGUCUGCUAAUUCACAUAAACAAAUCGUGAAUCCUUCAGACAGACCAAACCACAGUUAGGAAACUUUAUCACCGCACAACACAUCAAUCUUACUUCUACAAUUCAUUUCUGUAUCCAGCGACGGAUUAUACUACAUGCGCCGACUCGGUGAGUGACGGAUCGCGCUGGCCAUUCGGUAAACUGGAUCGGUGAGCUCCAACCAAUAGCGAAGCUUCAUAUCUGUUUAGGAACCGCCUGUCAGUUUCCGGGCUCUGCUGCUGCCCCGAGUGUUUGGCUAGGCCUUAAUAAAACACACCGAAGAAGAAAAUCUUGCGUCAAAUGUACUCACUUACCAAGCAAACAACAAGUACAGUAUCCAUGCAUUUCUUGUUCCGCCUGCGGAAGAAGAGAAAACUCUACCUGCAUGUUUAUUCCGCUUUGGAAAGCGCUGUUAGCUGUGCUAAGCGUGUUGCUUAAGCACCGCGAUUAGCCAGUCUGCUUGUAGGCUGGCAAAUAAACCACAAUAAAGCGCUUGAAGAAAUAAACGGACUGCUUUACCUGUUUUCAUCUCCGCUCUCGUCUAUUCGAGUCAUUCUCCCCCAGUUCAAAGAAAUGCCCAUUGUGCCUCGUACCAGGAAAUCGGGCGCUUCUUACCCGCUGAAGUGAAGAGUUCUGAAACUCAGUAUGGAAAGCCCUAAGGGGCAAAACUCAGCCAAGCGCCAAACCAGGUGGAGAUCCGAGCGCCACGCCCACCUCUCACCUCAUCAGUACUAGCACUAACACCCUGUCCAGACAGGAUUAGAUGUACAGGGGUCCAUGGGGUAAUUUCCUAUUUUACAUGUGCUCUUUGGGGAUUUUAUUUCCGUCUGGAUCGGCCCUGUCU
Long non-coding RNA from Ictalurus punctatus (channel catfish), 1505 nucleotides. The record is from Ensembl. NCBI's taxonomy places the organism in Eukaryota, Metazoa, Chordata, Actinopteri, Siluriformes, Ictaluridae.